This 927-nucleotide ribosomal RNA is filed under the name Macrophomina phaseolina. RNAcentral describes it as "eukaryotic LSU rRNA". It matches the Rfam family "Eukaryotic large subunit ribosomal RNA", at positions 1 to 941 of the family's 3401-position model. Lineage: Eukaryota; Fungi; Ascomycota; Dothideomycetes; Botryosphaeriales; Botryosphaeriaceae. The record is from RNAcentral.
AAGGUUGACCUCGGAUCAGGUAGGGAUACCCGCUGAACUUAAGCAUAUCAAUAAGCGGAGGAAAAGAAACCAACAGGGAUUGCCUUAGUAACGGCGAGUGAAGCGGCAACAGCUCAAAUUUGAAAGCUGGCUCCUUCGGAGUCCGCGUUGUAAUUUGUAGAGGAUGAUUCGGCGAGGGCUCCCGCCUAAGUCCCCUGGAACGGGGCGUCAUAGAGGGUGAGAAUCCCGUAUGCGGUGGGUUGCCUUAGCCAUGUGAAUCUCCUUCGACGAGUCGAGUUGUUUGGGAAUGCAGCUCUAAAUGGGAGGUAAAUUUCUUCUAAAGCUAAAUACCGGCCAGAGACCGAUAGCGCACAAGUAGAGUGAUCGAAAGAUGAAAAGCACUUUGGAAAGAGAGUUAAAAAGUACGUGAAAUUGUUGAAAGGGAAGCGCUUGCAGCCAGACUUGUCCGCAGUUGCUCAACCGGGUCUCCUGACCGGUGUACUCUUCUGCGGCCAGGCCAGCAUCAGUUCGGGCGGUCGGAUAAAGGCCCUGGGAAUGUAGCUCCUCUCGGGGAGUGUUAUAGCCCAGGGUGGAAUGCGGCCAGCCUGGACUGAGGAUCUCGCUUCGGCUAGGAUGCUGGCGUAAUGGCUGUAAGCGGCCCGUCUUGAAACACGGACCAAGGAGUCUAACAUCUAUGCGAGUGUUUGGGUGUCAAACCCAUGCGCGUAAUGAAAGUGAACGGAGGUGGGAACCCUCACGGGUGCACCAUCGACCGAUCCUGAUGUCUUCGGAUGGAUUUGAGUAAGAGCAUAGCUGUUGGGACCCGAAAGAUGGUGAACUAUGCCUGAAUAGGGUGAAGCCAGAGGAAACUCUGGUGGAGGCUCGCAGCGGUUCUGACGUGCAAAUCGAUCGUCAAAUUUGGGUAUAGGGGCGAAAGACAAUCGAACC